Molecule: long non-coding RNA, 1755 nt
Organism: Oryzias melastigma (Indian medaka)
Lineage: Eukaryota; Metazoa; Chordata; Actinopteri; Beloniformes; Adrianichthyidae
Exons: 3
Source: RefSeq, a predicted model, not a curated record
GCUAGAAACUAGUAGGAUAGAGUGUAGGCAAAGGGCUGAUGGGAAAAUAGCAGAGUUAACUUUUGGGUUAGCAGUCUCACCCACAACUCCAGAGGCGAAUCUUCAAUGAGCUCCAACUGCUUUGCAAAAAAUGUCACAAAAACAGCACUGCUUUUUUUAAAUACCCGAUAAUCAUGGUUAAAAGACCACUAAGAGUGAUUUUACAAUAGAUUAUCCAUUGUAACUAUAGUUACAAAACUUUAACACAUUAAUUUGCUUUGAAAAUGGUUGCAGUUCCACCAGUUGCCCAUGCAGGGGCAGUACUAAUGCGAUCUGACCAGAAAAACAAAUGGAUGAAGAAGAAAAGCAGCAAGUCCCACUUGUCCUCUGAUUAGCAUCCAUGUUGAUCUUCAUCCUGUCGUCUCAGAACCACUUGGAGACUCCAAGAUGUUGUGCAGCCUUAAAGACCCACUCCAAUUCCAAUGAAAAUUGGGCUUUUAACAUGUUCUUGUGGCAUUUUUCGAUGAUAAAGGACAAAAAUUAAGAACUCCAACAUGUUUUCUGGGGGAUUUCCAGGCUUUAUCCCCUCCUCUGCCCGUGGGUUGUGGAAUCUGCCCUAAAUGAAGGCACAUAUUUCUUCUGAGGCCUGGACGGGCCCGGUGUCGGGGUGUUUUGUGCCGCCCUGUCAGUUGUUGUUCAUGAACCAGCUUGAAGACAGAUCAAAGCGUUUUCUCUCCCGGAGCUGGAAUCUGGUCCGUGAGACUCAUGGACUCCUUCACAUCAGCUGAGGAUCUGACCAUGUCCUCUGCUCUCACCAGGCAUCACUGUGCCGGACCACCACUGUUCAGCUUCUCAUUCAAUGAAGGCUUCAUGCAGUAUUUUACACUCUGGUUGGUCUUGUAGAUCAAGAGUCCCCUGGAAUUUGGAUCACUUGGUACUAGGCUGCAAAAACAAAAAGCACAACUUAAGAUCUGAUUCCUAUGGACAUUUUAUUUUGGAAAACUGCUGGCUUCUCUCCACCACAUCUGCCUGUGACUUGGACACAUGUCAGGUCGUUCACCUCUGUCAAUUCUUAGACAAUCUUCCAACUGCCAUGACUCUUCAUCUGUUUAUACAAUCAAAAAUCCACUCAAAUAAAACUAUAUAAAAAUCUAAAAAUCUAAUUUUUAACAUUUACUUUGUCAUGAUGAAAGAUAUAAAGAAGAUUUAGAUUGAAACCUGCUUCUCUGAGAACUUCUUUUUUCAAGUCGUGGUGAAUCAGGAGUAGAUAAAUUUAUAAGAUUUAAAGUCGUAAUUUAAAAAAAAUGUGUUUGUAAACUGUUGUAAUAUUUUGAGUAGAACACCAGAUUUUUUUUUCUUUUAAAUGAAAAUGUGUUUUUUCUUUGAGAUCGAUUUAUUGCGACAGUUAUUGCCGCUCACCAAAACCACUCUGCAUAAUGUGCAGCGACCAACUCUCUAACAUUACAAAAAAAGUGUAAUAUGAAUAAAACAAAAAUAAAACUUAAUAGAAAAAAAAUCAGUAAAAUAAGAUUAAAAUAAAAUAAAAUAUGUGCUUAGUGUUUGCGGUACACAAUAUUCACAUGUGCAAAGUAGGGAUAUAGUCCAUAAUAUUUCACCUAUAAAGAAUACCACUGAGCUGAUGAAAUAAUAAAUGGUCAUUUUGCUAUCAAGAUCUUUAGACCCCAUGGGGUCAAUUGAGAACAAUAGAUGAUUUUGGAGAUGUAAGCAAUUCUCUAAUCAUGAAAACCUUAAGUUUAGCUCAAGUGAUCAAAAUGC